Long non-coding RNA from Cephus cinctus (wheat stem sawfly), 8878 nucleotides. RefSeq lists it as uncharacterized. Lineage: Eukaryota; Metazoa; Arthropoda; Insecta; Hymenoptera; Cephidae. The record is from RefSeq and is a predicted model, not a curated record. The transcript is spliced from 8 exons.
UUGUCAUUUUUAAGCACGACUACGGUAGUCUGUUAUAAUUCCUUGGAUUGCUGCGACUCCAAGUUCAUCUUGGCUAAGAUCGCCUAUCGUCCUGAGUUGCUUAGGGACUUCGUAGCGUAAUUAAUUAAUGAUUACAUAAGAGGAACGAGGUCGACGACAUACCACGAAGUCUCUACUGCAGUGGACACGUACGUGAAUACGUAGUACGUGUGGACGGCGUUAUCCAGUUUGGUCCAGUGUCCAGACUCCGUGGAAGGGUUGGAUGAGAUGGUGACGAGGGGGUUGGGCCUGGAACGGGGGAGACCCAUGCAACAUUGAUUUUAAGCUAGCGUGACGUUGGAUCUGAUAUGCAACACUGCAAAGGCUUAUCCCAGAUGCAUAAUGCAUGGAGACGGACCAAUAAUCGUGCGCCAUCUUUAAUAUGAGUAUAUUUGAGGAUACAAAUUAUUAUUAGCUCCUGACGCAUUUCGGGUGUGCGAAAUUUUCUCUUUUUCUUUCUCUUAGACACAACGUCGAUUACGAAGUAAGGCGUUCCAGUGGCCUGGAUAGAGUUUUCAAUAAGUCCCAUUGGAAUCGCCCAAUGAGAAUGAAGCUGUUAUUGGGAGUUUAAAUAAUUCAUUGUUACUCGCGCUUUUGCUAAAAGGUCAAUUGACAUCCGGUAGAGGUCGACACGGUCUCGACCUCUUUAUAGACGGUUUAUGACGUCAGUUCCUGGCAAGCUGGAGGUGGAACGAGAGAUUGACGGGUCGAAGGAGAUUUUUAAGCGUAAUUAUAAUCAGAGAUUGUGCCUUUACGGCGGCCUGAUAAUGGGUCAAGCUACACGAUUUUGCCCCGUUCGUAAUUCAUAAUCCCCGUUCGAAGGCGAUUACGAGUAGCGAUGUUGGUAACCAGGCGUCGCGACGUUACCCCGGAGGGACCUCAAGUCCGAAGUAAGCCCUGUUGACAAUGUGUAUCUCUUUCGUUCUUUUUUUUCUUCGUUUUCCGUCUGGCCUGGUCCCGCUCUCGGAAAUCUUGGGGCCUCAGGGCCCAAGGGAACCGUACGUACCGAGAAUUCAAUGUCGCGAUGUCAUAACCCAACUUCUUGGUCUCCCACUUUGCUUCCACUUUUUAAUUUCAAAUUUAUUUCAUCGACCAAUCUCUAUUUCUACUACCUCAUUUUAUACUCAACCUUUCUCUUCCACCUUCACCCAUUCUAUGGCACGUUCGAAAAAAUUCUGCCGAAGCUCAUCCAAGAUCGCUCCGAAGGCUUAGACCCAUUUUGAAAAGCAGCCUUGCAAGUACCCCAGGAUACAUCUUGCACGCCUUUUGCGAUCUGAUCCAUGAAUUUUCAAUCUGUUACAGAGUCCGCCGAGUCAUUACACGACUGGUACCGUAAAUCGCAGAUGUUUUGUAAGCGGCGCGGCGCUACCAUAAGGCGGCUUCCACUCUACGCUCCUCUAUCCAGUCUCCCUGUUCGCUUUCGAAGCAAAAGGUGCUCGUUGCUCCUUUUGCUACGUCUGCCGGCAGUCUAGACCGAGGCUUGGGUUCCCGUCCGGACCUUCCCCCGGGAGUUAAGAGGGGGACCAGGAGGGAGGGACGUCACCUCCUUGCGGCCAGUGAGCGAAUCAGCGAAUGAGCGAACACACUGCGCCUCUCUCGCUGCUCAUUGCUCACCUUUUGGUCCUGAGGCUACCAGUUCCCUCUUCUCCGCGUUAUCAUUCACAACAGCAGCUAUACGAUAAACCCAAGGAGAACGUGAACGAUCUAGAACGAUGAUAACGAUUGUAAAUCAACUUGGUCGUCACAAGUGUUUAGACGGCCACUGUACCCAGUAUCAAUCCUGAGAUGAAAACAUGGCUCAAAGUACCAACGAUAAUUGCUAUUAUGGAUUCAAAGAGUAAUGGCUACCUUUUUUGAUUCUCUACUUUUUUUUAGACUUCAAAGCAGCCUGGGACAGAGAGUUUUGAAAAAUUGGUAAAAGACAAUAAGUUUUUAAUGACUUUUUUUUUUUAAUCCUGAUCUUUUUUUGCUUUCUUCUUUUUUCCCAUCUAUAAUAUGAUUCCUGGAGAACGUCAGCGUGCCGUAUAAAGUGCCUUGCACUCUGGGAUCAUCCAUUAGGCCUGAGUAAGGUAUACCCACUGGAUCGUUUUGUUCCUUGAAAUAAAAGGAUGGCAGAAGGAAAAGAAAAUUAAAAGAAGAGUCCUCGAAGAUGAGCUGGUCCACCUUCGUUGGAUGCACUUCCUCGCGUUAACACUAUCCUACGUUAUAGCGUCCCGACGCUUAACGACGGAAAAUACCCGAGCGCCGUGAACAGCCUAUGUGUACAUACUUAUAGAUAUAUGCUUAACGCUAUUCACGCCAAGAAAGCGAUCGGCUGUUAAUUAUACAUAAUAGCAAAGUGCCAAAACGUGUUGGAAGAUAACGGUGUCCGGCUCCCGCGAUGCAUAACGGCACUAAGAACUAAUAAUAAUAGGAAGAAUAAUGAUGGUGUCAAGAGAGAGGAUGACUGGGAGCAAUGAAUAACAAAGGAGAGAAAUCCGCGAUGAAAGCAUUCAGGGUGACAGAAAAGCAGGGAAUGAAAAAAGAAGAAUAAUAUUCUAAGCUUAAAAAUUCUCGUGUCUUAACCAGUGAUUAAGUAGGUGGAACAGAUGGGAGUACGAAGGAACGGUGGGAAAUCUUUAAAGAGAUAUUGAGAGUGUGGCCAGAGGGUAUUAAGAAUUAUCAGGAGCGAAGAGAGACGCCGAGUAUCCUGUGGCAAUGGCGAUGCAGCAUCCCAGCUGCAUCCGCGAUGCACCUGCCUCCCUUCUUUCUGCAACCGACGCCGACGCCGCCUCGCGAGAGACUUUCCAAGAAACCCAACCACUCUCGCCCCGUUUUUCAUCAAUUGUUCUUGCUGGCACAUUCAUUCGCUCUCUCGCUCGCUCUCUUACUCUCUCCUUUCAUUUGUCUAUACGGUUCGCCGCCGUUGAUCCCACCCGCCCCCCUUCUUCUUCUUCGGCAACCUCACCCACUGUAUCUUCAAGCAUCGACACCCUCCGACUAUCAUCUUCUGGCGUUUCUCAUCAUUUCCAGUGUCCAUCUGCAGCAUCCUUGACCUGGACCAUAAUUCGCACGGCCAUUCAGAUGUCAAUUGAGCGAGGAUACGACGAAGAUGCCCGAGGAGUACCGAUGAGAGAUCAGCGUGGCUCCGGCCCUCGGUGAAGGAAUCUUCGGCUGGUUCUAGGUGAAUUGAAUGUUAGAUUGAUUGUAAUGACGUUUCUUAUUUCAAUUGAUUAAGACUUUUUCUUUUACUUUUUUGACAUAACCUGUUUAAUUAUUUUAUAUGAUGCCUGAGCUGUAUUCAGGGGACGGUGGAAAGUAGAUAUCAUGACAGCACUGCGAGAGGCAGACGUAUAAACUGGUCCAGGGGGAUAUUGGAGAAACCAGAGAAAUGGACCCUCUCGGCUUGGGGAUCCUGAAUGGUAAUGAUUAUAGCAAAUUGCUCUUGGUUGGGGAGGACUUGGCGGGGUGGCUAAUAGCCACUCAGUGAGGCUGUUGAAACCGCGCAACCCUUCACUCUUAACCUUUGAUCCCCUCCCCGCGCAAGUCAACCCUUCAAAACUUCAUUGUUUCACCCUGUUUUCAGAUCGUGCCAUACUUCCUUGAGUGUAGAACAUAUCCGAGUUCACGAUGCUUCUUCUUGGACUGAAUACGAGGACGAGCUGAUGCGAAGAUAUUGGGCCUUGUGCUGAACGCAAGACUUCCUGGCACUGUACUGCAUUAGUGCACCUGGGCGUAUGCUCUACGAAGAUGCUGUUCUUACUGAGUGACGUGCACCAGGAACAUCCUCUUCCGGGCUUCGAGAUCACAGAUAAAUGUCUUUUCCAUGUUGCCUGGAAAGCCACUGAAACAGUAGGGCCCCAGGCGGUGCUCAUUGUGCCCAGGGACUUGGGGCCCCAUCUAUCCACGUCCUAGUGGUUACUUCUGCAUCCUGACAGCCUACUCUAACGAUGUGCAUACACUGGAAGAUGUCUUCGGUUCGACUGCCAUUCCUUACCCUCCAUAUUUGACUGCGCCUUCUGUCAAGGAUCUGCGACUCGUGCAUGGAAGAAUUUGAAGAAAAAUGAUAUAAUUUACAAAAUCUUAAAAGCCAUUGCAAUCAAUAUAAAUUGAUUCUAGGUAAACAAGCAAGUUGUAGUUAAAACUUAUCUGGACAUAAGAUACCGAAGGCCAACUAGGUGGUAUAGCUUUUCACAUGGGUCUUCGAAGAGUCAUCUUCUAUUUUUCUUUAACAAUUUGCAUAAAUAUCUACCACAUGGUUAUUACUUGCCAUGAAAGAUUAAUUAAGCGCGAGUCUGAACAGCCUGUUAAUGUAAUUUCAAAUUUUUACGUCUACCCUCAGGGAGAGUCAAUGCCAGCCCCCCUGCUCACUAUACCCUCUAUGCAUGUAGUACAAUUAUUACAGCGUGUAUUACAUAUGCAUUAACAGCAUGAAAAUUUACAUGUAAUCUUUUAAACGUUUAAUCCUUAAGGAUCAUAUCCUGAUUAAGGAUUACCUUUACCAGUAAUCUAACUCCGUCCAAGAACGUACGCACCCAAGUUGUCUUUGGCCAGAAAAAUUUGUUAAUUACAGAAAUUCAUUUGCUUUCCUUACGACUUGAAUUUUUUCAUUAAAACUUUCUGUUGCAGUCUUACGAAUUGCGCCAGUGACUUGAAAACUAAAAAGCACUCGGCCGCUCCUGCUCCCAAGUUACAAUGGUCCUCACCGUCCAGCGGUCAGAAGGUUUUCAACUCCCUAAUGGUCAAUUUCCCACUCAGACGAGAAUCAUUAGUCUAUGCACCCUGGGGUGUAUUUUCGCCAAGGGUUAUACCACGAGAAGUACACUCGAUAAGUACUGGAAAAAGAAUACUGAAAGCAAACUAGCCAUUGGAUGUACGCAUGUGCACUAUUACAAACCAAACAAAUUUUCUUGCGAUACAAAUUAAAUUAUAUAUUACUUUUCGUCUUUUUAAAGUUACUCAGUUAUUUUUCUUUUACAAUAAAUCUCAAAUUCCCGCGCAACAGACAAGUCCACGAAUCGAGCCCCUGGCGGAAUUUUCUGUAACUACGCAAAGUGACAAGCCAAAUAAAAUUCAUCGAGCCGUCUGCUUCGUGGAAAACCCUAAGUUGCAAUAAUAAACUUCGACAAUCAUUAACCCACCACUGUUCUCAUUAAUAAGAAAAGCAAAUACGUAUUUACAAUAAAUAAAUCCUUAAACAGUGGAUCACUAUGUGACAAACUCACUCCCAGGCUCAUCGUACCACCAACGAUCCCACGACGUGUCGCACACUCACGAAUAGAAGCAGUCUACAGAAAAUCAGAAAAAGGAUCAUAGAACAUUUCGAUGAUCACAAUUCCGAGAAAGACACGUUUUUCCACAACGUAGCAAGCACGCCCAUACGAGUCGGAAACGUUUGAAUAAAUUCUUGGAACUGAUAUCGAUUCCACGACCCACGCACGAUCUUCAAGCAGCUGCAUUGUUAACUAAAAAAAAAAGAAAGCAAGGACAAGACGACGAGACGACCGGCAGUCCCCAUGAAUUCAUCGAAAUGACAGCGGCGGCCAUCUUGGAUAUCUUAAGGUACAACAGUCCCGUUUGCGAGUAAUACUUGAAUCAAGUUGGCGUCGAUAUACAUACAAAUUUAUAUUGAAAAUAAAGAUCAGCCAGUCGAUUUGACUUGAUGUUUGCACGAUAAACAAUCCUUUUUCUUUUUAUAAAUAAAAAUGAGGCUUAAAAAUAUAUUUUGACUUGAAUUACAAAUAUCGGGGUCCAAUGUGUCGUUUGAUUUCUUAAAUUGAGCUUUAAUCAUUAUUUCGAAACAGAUGAGCACUGCAGUAUUUCCCGCGGUUUUAUUGCAUAGCACGUGGCGGACUCAGAGCCCGAUGGCCUUGUGCGUCUCGACGCCCGUCUGCCGCUGCUCGGAAUGCCCGCAAUAAUUGCUUACCUAUGCUAUACGUGCAUGCUUAAUCAGAGGUGUAUGAACUCGACGCAUAAACAAGCGGGUAUGUAACAUCCUAGCACACGUAUGUUAGAGUAAUGGGUUCGUGUGUGGUUGAAUUAAAAUUUUUUUUUAAAUUGCUAAAUAAUUAGAUAGCAAGAGAUAGAUAGUAGUACCGCUACAAAUAGCAACAGUGACAACAGUGAUACUAAAAGUCCAAUUAACAAAAACAAUGACGUGUCAAAAAGUCGACAAGCCAUCAGGCGAAUUGCUUAAUUUUGUAAAAUUCAACGAAUCACGAAUGAAAAGUUGACUAAUAUUUAAAAAAUUGCACUUCUCGACGUCCGCCAUUUUAUUGAUUCAGCAAUGGCGUCAAGGAGCUCGGACGGUAUUCUUGUUUCUUUAAUCCCCUCGUCAGACUUGCAUAACCCAAUUACAACGGCCGAGAAUAUAAACGUACGAAAUACGGAGCUGCUAAGAGUAUAAGAGAAAAAGAAAGAUUCAUCCUUGUCUGGAGAUAUUCUUGUCCUGACGUCGUAAGGACGUCGUCCGUCCAGUCUGGUUCGCUAAUCGUUACUGGUCGAUCAGGACGAGUCUCACACGCCAGACGAAACGCAUUAACUUAUUACGAGGAUCGGUAGGACGAAUUUCAGCUCGACGCAGUAGCCAAGAACGAAAGCAAGAAAGACAAGGAAAAAAUAAAUUAAUGCAACAUAAAGGCAUACGUAUCUUUAAGAGAGUAUGAAUAUUGAGCAAAGAAUAUCGAAGCACGUCCUUUUAUCAUAGACAAUUCCCUCGGGCUAAGAAAAGUGGUAAGCAUAUAUAUACAUAUAUACACUACGUAUAAAAGGCUUCGGGCGAUAAUUUCGAAAGUAUAUCGAUAUCCGAAUAUCGAUUAAGAAACGAUUAAAAAUCUGAUCGCUGUCUACCGGGUGUGAUAACGUAACCCAAGAGGCGUCCAUUGACGUACGCUAUCCGCAGCCAUGUUAUAUGUUGUAAAAAAACAGGAAGGACCACUUGGCCCAGAUUAAAUGGCAGUUUCGUUCAGUAUAGCUUUAGGACCAAUCUCGUCUAGUCGUGAGGGGUUUUAUUAAAUAACAGAGAACGUAUAAUUGGGCUAUACAUACUUCGCCAUCUCGUUACCACAUAUGUAUAUAUAACGUACGCAUUUAACUACAUAUGUAUAUAUAUAUAUAUGCAUAGUAGCAGUAAUACACGGACCACGUUAUCCACUGUCUGCCAGCUUGUUACUUCAUGCGUGCGUCCGCAUUCCUAGCCUUCAAUUACGAGCCGCGCAUUCUUGUCUAUUAGAAUGUUGUUGGAUGGACAAAGUUUGAAAAUAGCGAAUAAUUCAGUGCGGAUUCCAACAGGCGUGUUUACCCGGUGAAGCGAGUACCGAAGUGAGAAGAGAUAAUUGAAAGAUUUUCCAGUUGGAUCUAAUCGAAGGAUCCUUUGAUGUAUAAUUUUGCCUUCUUUCCUAUUUCAAAAUUACCCGCCAACUCUCACUUGCUGUCUUUCUAGUUCGACGACUCCCCGCUAGAUGCCACUCGUCGAUAACGAGAACCACGUGACAACCGGUUCGUCGAACGGUGAACGCUGCUCUACGUAUUUACACGUGUCUGUAUGUACGUAUAUGAAAUCAUACGUGGUUCACUGAUAUGCUGAUAAAUUUGUGGCUCGCUUACUAUCAGUGUUUAUGUGGAUGGGAGGACUACGGUGUGGAUGAUAUUUCAUGUUAUUCGUGCAUAGCGACGUAAUCGACACGGAAGCAGAGCUAACGUCUGGUGGUUCGUUUGGUCUGUUUGUCGGACGCGGAGCGUCCUCGUUUAACCUGCGUACGAGAAUUCACGGAUUGGCGCCUUUGUGCCUCGCGGCCGGAAAUUGGAUACUAGAAAUAAUUAACCUCGUUAUUUACGAUCUUCGUAUUUCAAUUAUGCAUUUCCGGGCACGGAAAUGAACCAGCGUCGAUGGACUGGAUAACAGAACGGAUGGAUGAAUGCAAGUUAAUUGUAUUUAUAUAGAUAUACGUACAUGGUAGGAGUGCUGCUUACGCAGCAUCCACGAAUACCAUUUCUAUCUGGAGCGCAACGUUAAUUGAUACGUGAUCAAUUGAAGUUCGAUUGUCGAUUGAAUCGAUCGGCUGUACCUUCUGGUUUAAUUGGAGGACAAAAGUAUAUGAUCGAGAUGGACGUCCUGUGAUGAGCGAACUCUACACUGCAAUUAUUGGGGUUAAUUAGAAGUAGAUAUGAAAAGUACGUGACUCAUUGGUCUUAACCAUUUGACGGAAAUUGUGGCUGGUUUGACUGUCUGAAGGUUAACCAUAGAAAUCGAUGUGUUUGUCAGGCCCAAAGUAGAAACAGACGGAUAGUCAGUCAGACAGACAAUCAGUCAGUCAGACUGAGUGGGUGGCUGCUGUAAAAGUCUGAAAGGAUGGACCAGCAAACUCCAAUGAAGCAGGCAGAUAGGGAGAAAUGUUUCACAAUUGUUGUUACGGUACGAUCCUACAGGUGCGAUAAAAUUUUUUUUUUUCCCUAUGACGAGCAAUAACCAACGCAAUUAAACACGUGGAGACCAAGAGAAAUCGCUCGGGUGGAACUGCGAGGUAACAGCGUCGUGAAGGGGGAAGAAAAAAAAAAAGUUAAAUAAUAGCAGGCUAGACCAGACUCAGACAGUGCGAACCAGACCGGAUAUGGAUUUCUCGAUGAAUAUCCUCCUGAAGCCAGCUCGAGGAACAAAACCAGAUGGAUAAAAAAUGGUGUUAUCUCAACGAGGUCAUCGAUAUCGCCGAGACGCGGAUGGCGUUAAUUACUUGAAGAUUGUCAAUAACAAUUAUUGAAGCCAAAGAUUCAUGGUGCCAUUGAGCUUCGAGGGGGAGGGGGUUAUAAAGUCUCGAGGGAGACGUUUGGAUUGUAUUAUGAAAAACUGCCAAAAAAAAUUUUA